GAUGAACGCUGGCGGCAUGCCUAACACAUGCAAGUCGAUCGGUAAGGCUCUUCGGAGUACACGAGAGGCGGACGGCUGAGUAACGCGUAGGAACACACCCUGCAGUGAGGGAUAAGACACCGAAAGGUGUUCUAAUACCGCAUACGGUCUUCGGAUUAAAGCAUUUAUGCGCUGAAGGAGUGGCCUGCGUCAUAUUAGAUAGUUGGUGAGGUAAUGGCUCACCAAGUCGAUGAUGUGUAGCUGGUCUGAGAGGAUGAUCAGCCAGACUGGAACUGAGACACGGUCCAGACUCCUACGGGAGGCAGCAGUGAGGAAUAUGUCACAAUGAGCGAAAGCUUGAUGGAGCAAUGCCGCGUGCAGGAUGAAGGCCCUCGGGUUGUAAACUGCUUUUAUAAGAGAAGAUUAUGACGGUAACUUAUGAAUAAGGGACGGCUAACUACGUG
RNAcentral lists this ribosomal RNA (443 nucleotides) under uncultured bacterium. RNAcentral describes it as "partial 16S ribosomal RNA". It matches the Rfam family "Bacterial small subunit ribosomal RNA", at positions 28 to 507 of the family's 1533-position model. The record is from RNAcentral.